AGAGUUUGAUCAUGGCUCAGAUUGAACGCUGGCGGCAUGCUUUACACAUGCAAGUCGAACGGUAACAGGCCGCAAGGUGCUGACGAGUGGCGAACGGGUGAGUAAUGCAUCGGAACGUGCCCAGUCGUGGGGGAUAACGCAGCGAAAGCUGCGCUAAUACCGCAUACGAUCUAUGGAUGAAAGCGGGGGACCGUAAGGCCUCGCGCGAUUGGAGCGGCCGAUGUCAGAUUAGGUAGUUGGUGGGGUAAAGGCUCACCAAGCCAACGAUCUGUAGCUGGUCUGAGAGGACGACCAGCCACACUGGGACUGAGACACGGCCCAGACUCCUACGGGAGGCAGCAGUGGGGAAUUUUGGACAAUGGGCGCAAGCCUGAUCCAGCAAUGCCGCGUGCAGGAAGAAGGCCUUCGGGUUGUAAACUGCUUUUGUACGGAACGAAACGGUCCUGGUUAAUACCUGGGGCUAAUGACGGUACCGUAAGAAUAAGCACCGGCUAACUACGUGCCAGCAGCCGCGGUAAUACGUAGGGUGCAAGCGUUAAUCGGAAUUACUGGGCGUAAAGCGUGCGCAGGCGGUUUUGUAAGACAGGCGUGAAAUCCCCGGGCUCAACCUGGGAAUGGCGCUUGUGACUGCAAGGCUGGAGUGCGGCAGAGGGGGAUGGAAUUCCGCGUGUAGCAGUGAAAUGCGUAGAUAUGCGGAGGAACACCGAUGGCGAAGGCAAUCCCCUGGGCCUGCACUGACGCUCAUGCACGAA
RNAcentral lists this ribosomal RNA (752 nucleotides) under uncultured bacterium. RNAcentral describes it as "bacterial SSU rRNA". It matches the Rfam family "Bacterial small subunit ribosomal RNA", at positions 8 to 757 of the family's 1533-position model. The record is from RNAcentral.